UACUAGUUAUCAUCCCAGGGCCCACUUUAUGUAGAACCAUUGAAACUGAUCAAAUCAAAUCUGUGAGCACCAGAGGGUCCUUUCCAGGUUUUCCUAUGGUGAAUCCCACAGGAUGCUGGCUCCACUGACUGAUCCUUGGUCAUUGUUUGUCAUCGACUAAGUUUGAGGCACAUGGGUUUUUAAGUGCGGGGCUUCUUUUCCUAGGAUGUCACAGUCUUCAACAUGCCAGUUUUCUGAACCUGCUGGGGAGCUUGGGUGUGUGAUUUCUGCAGUGCCUAGGAUCAUCCUGCUCCAUUUCCCUUGCAGAACAGCCCAUGGAACUUGGGUUUAUGGAGCAGGGUUUCAAACCUUCCCCUGUGUAUGGUUCACCUGGGGAUCUUGGAAGUGCAGUUUCUGAAGGGCAGGUCUCAUUCUGAAGGUCUUGGGAGGAGCCAGAGAUAGGCAUUCUAACCUGUUCCAAGUGACGCUGUGCUGCGGGCCACAAGCCACACUUUGGAACAGCGACAUUGGAGGAGAUAUUGCAGAAAGAAGUGUCUGCUAUUUUCUCUACCCUGGGAGCUCCUGUGACAUCACUGUCAUGGACUAACACCCACCAAAGUGUAGGGGCUGUGCUGGGUGAGGAGCUAGAGUGGAAGCUCAUGAGGGCAGGAUAUCAAUCUGCUUUGUUCCCAGCUAUUUGGCCCAAACCUAGAACCAUGCCUGGAACACAGGAGUCUUGGCAGUUUCCUGGGAAAAGAACAUGUUACUAGGAAAAUUCAGCAAAGAUGCCCUAAUCUAGGUACUUUCUGAAAUAUUCGACAUGCUGGGUUGUGGUGGAUUUGAGUUUUCAAGUAGUCCAGGGCUUCUGCAAACUUUAGAAAGAUUUAACAAAGCAUCAAAAGCGAAGUUAGCCAAUCCCCAAAACCCAAAUGCCGAAUGUUUUCUCUGAUAUAAGGAGGCUGAUUCAUAGUGGGAUAGGGAGCGGGAGCAUGGGAGGAAUAGAUGAACUCUAGA
This 993-nucleotide long non-coding RNA is filed under the name Marmota monax (woodchuck). Lineage: Eukaryota; Metazoa; Chordata; Mammalia; Rodentia; Sciuridae. The record is from RNAcentral.